RNAcentral lists this ribosomal RNA (465 nucleotides) under uncultured bacterium. RNAcentral's name for it is "partial 16S ribosomal RNA". It matches the Rfam family "Bacterial small subunit ribosomal RNA", at positions 28 to 507 of the family's 1533-position model. The record is from RNAcentral.
GACGAACGCUGGCGGCGUGCUUAACACAUGCAAGUCGAACGGAAAGGCCCUGCUUGCAGGGUACUCGAGUGGCGAACGGGUGGGUAACACGUGGGUGAUCUGCCCUGCACUUCGGGAUAAGCCUGGGAAACUGGGUCUAAUACCGGAUAGGAGCCAUUUUUAGUGUGAUGGUUGGAAAGUUUUUUCGGUGUAGGAUGAUCUCGCGGCCUAUCAGCUUGUUGGCGGGGUAAUGGCCUACCAAGGCGGCGACGGGUAGCCGGCCUGAGAGGGUGGACGGCGACAUUGGGACUGAGAGACGGCCCAGACGCCUACGGGAGGCAGAAGUGGGGAAUAUUGCACAAUGGGCGCAAGCCUGAUGCAGCGACGCCGCGUGGGGGAUGACGGCCUUCGGGUUGUAAACUCCUUUCGCUAGGGACGAAGCUUUUUGUGACGGUACCUAGAUAAGAAGCACCGGCUAACUACGUG